This is a long non-coding RNA of Meriones unguiculatus (Mongolian gerbil), 653 nucleotides long. RefSeq lists it as uncharacterized. The transcript is spliced from 4 exons. NCBI's taxonomy places the organism in Eukaryota, Metazoa, Chordata, Mammalia, Rodentia, Muridae. The record is from RefSeq and is a predicted model, not a curated record.
AUGGCCACUGUGGAUGUUUCCCUCUCCCUGAGUGGAUUGGAAUAAACUUGGUGGGCCCUGUAACCCUUUGCAAGAAAGAAUCUGCAAAACGGUGGCCACAAAACUACCUAAGAGCGUGGAGCAGAAAGAGAAUUUGCCAGUUAUGGCAGAGGAAAAGCUGCUUUGCAUACUCUCUGUGGAACAUCAUCUAAGCCUGUCCUUGAGUCCUUUCCAGUGUGCUGAUGAAAAGACCUGCCUCUCUGGCCACUUCCUCCAGAUGCAUGUCACUGAAAUGCAGCAUUUUAUACCAGGCCACAAGGUAACAGAAGCUCACAAUCCAGACAAAUAGUUUCCUGCAACUGUGUCCUGAAGUCCCAGAGGGACAAAACAUGGAAAUGAAUCAGCCGAUAAAGGAUUUUCUCCCAUUGAAGAUGUUGGUGAUUUGUACUGUGUUGCGGAAGCUGAACACUGAGAUGGAUAUUCACAGUCUGUGGAGACCACAGUCUGUCUCCCUCCUGUGGGAUGCAGUUUUUUGGGGGGAGGUAUAUGUGGGAUAAAGAAUAGCAGGCUAAAGGUAUAAUGCUUUAUCUAAGUAUGACAUGAAAUCAUACCAUAGUCUGACCGAAGUAUUUAAUUCUUCCUAAUUUGGGUGAUAAGUCCUUUUAAACAGAUUC